AUUGAACGCUGGCGGAAUGCUUUACACAUGCAAGUCGAACGGCAGCACGGACUUCGGUCUGGUGGCGAGUGGCGAACGGGUGAGUAAUGUAUCGGAACGUGCCCAGUCGUGGGGGAUAACGUAGUGAAAAUUACGCUAAUACCGCAUACGAUCUAUGGAUGAAAGCGGGGGAUCGCAAGACCUCGCGCGAUUGGAGUGGCCGAUAUCAGAUUAGGUAGUUGGUGGGGUAAAGGCCCACCAAGCCAACGAUCUGUAGCUGGUCUGAGAGGACGACCAGCCACACUGGAACUGGGACACGGUCCAGACUCCUACGGGAGGCAGCAGUGGGGAAUUUUGGACAAUGGGCGAAAGCCUGAUCCAGCCAUUCCGCGUGCAGGAUGAAGGCCCUCGGGUUGUAAACUGCUUUUGUACAGAACGAAAAGGUUUCUACUAAUACUAGGAGCUCAUGACGGUACCGUAAGAAUAAGCACCGGCUAACUACGUGCCAGCCGCCGCCGUAA
RNAcentral lists this ribosomal RNA (500 nucleotides) under uncultured bacterium. RNAcentral's name for it is "partial 16S ribosomal RNA". It matches the Rfam family "Bacterial small subunit ribosomal RNA", at positions 30 to 523 of the family's 1533-position model. The record is from RNAcentral.